This is a long non-coding RNA of Syngnathus typhle (broad-nosed pipefish), 2791 nucleotides long. RefSeq lists it as uncharacterized. The record is from RefSeq and is a predicted model, not a curated record. The transcript has 3 exons. Lineage: Eukaryota; Metazoa; Chordata; Actinopteri; Syngnathiformes; Syngnathidae.
CACUCCCACAUCAUGCAUACAACACUAGUUUGGAUAAUACAGCAAAUACGCAUAAAAGACGCUCAUUAACUUGGUAGCCAAACGGAACCGAGGAACGCCCCUUUCUGACUACUACGGUGCCGGACUGCGCCUUCCGUGCUUGCACUACCCUGACACACACCGCCCUCCAGCGGACAAAUGGAAGAACUACAUCUUGUGAGUCCUGUGCUCACUUGCUACAAGAGUCAUCGUUUCGAAGAUAUGAUUGUGCCCGUGACCGGAGGGGUCAACUACUCACACGUGAUCUAAUGGAAAAGAGUCCAAAUCCUCUGCUGAGACCUUCUUCUGUUGCAUCAGGUAGUAAAUUUCCCCUGAAAUGACACAAAAUAUCUCUCAGUACAUGUGCAUCUAAAAUAGACAAUUAUUAUUUUUUUCCAACUAUUAUCUACAAUCUACUGUGAGUUCAGAGAAGGAAAAGGGGCGGGGUGGUAUUUGUCAGCAUGACCUCUGCUGAGCGUGUAAAAGAUAAGGAGUAUUGAACCUGAGGUGAGGACACAGUCCACGUCCCGGCUCUCCAGCAGACUGUUGUAAAACUCUUCUCGGACAGCCUCCAGUUUUUUGUCAAAGCAAGGCGCCACUACUAUAUGGUACAAUUUGUCCGCAUUUAGUUUCUGUUUAAAGAAAGGUGGGGGGGAAAAAAGAGAAAACAUUUUGAUAUUUUGUUGAAUCAGGCUUUGUGGCAACCUCAAUUGCACUCACUUGCUGUUUGGAGAAGUAAUCUUUGACUAGACAUCCCAUAAUUUGCUGCGGAGACCUUGCUGUGCAAAUGUGAGGUGUGACCAAACUCCCGAGGAUACGCUCGGAAUAGCGAAUCCAACCUGUAGAUCAGUACAAACGUGCAAUUAUUUAUUAUUAUUCUUCCAUAGUUCCAGACUUUUGCUGUCUAAAUUUUGCACAGGGGAAUGAAUGGAUGGAGCACUGUGAGAAUGUUCCAACUUGUUUAUUUUCACUUUUUGCUGAAGAAGGGAGUGGUGGAACAUAAGCGCUCUAUCUAUCUAUCACCCCUGCACUGCACUCUUAUCUGUAUUGCUAAAAAAAAGAAAUGGUGGGCGUUAAAACUCACUCUGAUGUUCCCAGCAGACCUUCACAUUACAUUUAGGUCUGCCGGGUCGGAAUGGAAUUUUUAUCACCAGGUGGCCAUGAGUUCAAAACAUGCAACUUUUGGUGCAUAAGCACAAACAACCGUCGUUUUUUUUUUUUUUUGAUUACCUGGGCAGGAGGAGGUGAACAUGGGCAAAGCAUGGGAGUCAUGGUGCCUCCUGUGAUACCUCUGAAUGAACUCUUUUUGACUCUCUAUGAUGCUAAAUCCUGCUGCCAGAGUGGUAUCAAAGACAAACUGCACACCUAGCAUGGAAAAGAGAUAGCAAGUUGGCUAAAACACACACACACACCAUUGGCUCUCUGUUUUUAUGGAAGCGCAAGUAAGAAGACAAGUAACAUCUACUUCUACAUAAAGUUUGAAUACAAUUAAAAUGCACAUUGUGGGUAUAUUUCCAAAUGUCGAGUUAGCAAUCAGCUUACCAAGGCUCUUGAGAAAACCGCAAAGUUUACCGGCGGCCUCAACGAUGUCCACGCCAAACUUGACGGCGAAAAAAGGUAGCGAUUGUGGACACACUGACGCUACCAGAACUCUGUGGUUUGUCACGUCACACUUCUGAUGAGGAAAAAGAUAGGUCUUAACCAAAAUGCAAGAAAAAUGCAAAAGCUUACAGAGGUGUGUGUGUACCUCAUUGAGAGCCAGAACCCGCUCUAUCUCCAUCAAGUUCUGUUGAGAGAUCUUCAGGCUCUCCUCCUCAGACAUACAGCCAUCGCAGGAUAAACAAGCACUCAGCAACAACUGUAAGCUCUUAUUCUCCUGAUGGAAUGAAGACAAAAGUCUUUUUUUUUUUAAUCAUCUUCAACAGCCCAGCGUGUUUUCAAGUACUUAGAAAUAAGACUCUACCUGUCCAUUGACUUGCUCUCCAUUUUGGUGUGAGCUGACAUCGCCAUCGCUCUGUUUCUUGUUGCACUGUGUGUCGAGCGACCGAUCAAGGUUUAGAAAAUAAUCAAUGAUCUACUUUUAUUCAUGUACAAGAGAAAUCCAAGUGAAAUCACCUGCUUGGUGCAGUUUUCACACUUUUCCUUGCGUUUCCCAAUGCUGAGCUCAGACAUUUUGUUCAUCAGUUACCUAGAAAUGGAGGGCAGUAAAUUUAGAUGGCAGCACUUUCCGAGAAAUAUAAAAGUCCCACGUAAAAUGUUCCCAGAAUAAUGUAAAUUACAUGAAGAAUUUCCAUAAUGUUUAACAAGCAGCCUGCUUAUCAUAAACAUUCCAGAAGUACCCUGAAAUUAACAUGUUAAAUGACUCAUUACAUACAUAUUACACAAAUAUAAUCAAGUCAAAAACAAAUGUAUAUGAAGAUCAACAGACUUAGAGGAGAAUGAAGUAUACUGCACAAUACUCCCGAAUUUACAUACAGUAUAUUUUUUUUGGUCAUUUAUUAAAAUGAUUGGAGAGGAGGACAUUGAGAUUUAAGAAACUUACCUCGGGUUAUUUUAUGGAAAAGGUCGAGUUCAGACUUUGUUAAAAGCACCAGAAAACGACGAAGAGACGCAUAGCACCACCGCUGAGGGCUUGGGGAGGCGGUUAGGGCGGGUCAGUAUAUAAGCAAUCACCGGCCGGCGUUACCCGUGUAGUACUCAGGCGUUAUUUUAUAAUAAAUGUUUUUAAAGGAAUGGAAAUUUCUCAAUCCGAAGCCAUUCAUAUCUAUUGACA